RNAcentral lists this ribosomal RNA (443 nucleotides) under uncultured bacterium. RNAcentral's name for it is "partial 16S ribosomal RNA". It matches the Rfam family "Bacterial small subunit ribosomal RNA", at positions 338 to 795 of the family's 1533-position model. The record is from RNAcentral.
CCUACGGGAGGCUGCAGUGGGGAAUAUUGGGCAAUGGAGGCAACUCUGACCCAGCAACGCCGCGUGGGCGAUGAAGGUCUUCGGAUUGUAAAGCUCUUUAAGCGAGGACGAAGAAAGUGACUGUACCCGCAGAAUAAGCCUCGUAUAACUACGUGCAAGCAGCCGCGGGAAUACGUCGGGGGCAAGAGUUCUCCGGAAUGAAGUGGCGUAAGGGGUGCGGAGGUGGUUUGGCAAGUGGGGAGCGGAAUCCCGGGGCUCAACCUCGAUGCUAGUACCAAAACUGUUGAACUUGAGUGCAGGAGGGGUGAAUGGAAUUCCCAGUGUAGCGGUGGAAUGCGUAGAUAUUGGGAAGAACACCAGCGGCGAAGGCGAUUCACUGGACUGUAACUGACACUGAGGCACGAAAGCGUGGGGAGCAAACAGGAUUAGAUACCCCAGUAGUC